Molecule: ribosomal RNA, 460 nt
Filed under: uncultured bacterium
Lineage: Bacteria
Description: partial 16S ribosomal RNA
Rfam family: Bacterial small subunit ribosomal RNA
Source: RNAcentral
CCUACGGGGAGCAGCAGUGAGGAAUAUUGGUCAAUGGGCGGGAGCCUGAACCAGCCAAGUCGCGUGAGGGAAGACGGUCCUAUGGAUUGUAAACCUCUUUAGGCGGGGAGCAAUGCCGGGCACGCGUGCCCGGAGGGAGAGUACCCGCAGAAUAAGCAUCGGCUAACUCCGUGCCAGCAGCCGCGGUAAUCCGGAGGAUGCGAGCGUUAUCCGGAUUUAUGGGGGUUAAAGGGUGCGUAGGCGGAUUUUUAAUUCGGCGGUAAAGGGUCGGGGCUCAACCCGGGCCGGCCGUUGAAACUGGGGAUCUUGAGUGGGCGAGAAGUAUGCGGAAGGCGUGGUGUAGCGGUGAAAUGCAUAGAUAUCACGCAGAACUCCGAUUGCGAAGGCAGCAUACCGGCGCCCGACUGACGCUGAGGCACGAAAGCGUGGGGAUCGAACAGGAUUAGAUACCCUUGUAGUC